UGCGCGUUCCUGCCAGAGCGGGCCGUGGCCCAGUUGGUGCCCGGUGCUGGCCGGUGCAUGUGAACGUUUCUAGAUGAAGGCCAGUUUUAUGACUAGUGGCACUCUUGAUUUCAGAAUAUUUCAUUUUCUAAUGCCAAUGGUGAAUUUGGGCUCAAGUAUCUUCCUACUCCUCACAGCUUCCUACUCCUCACAGCUUCAUUCUGUAAUGUAAUACCACUGCACAGUACACCUCUCUGUUGUGCAGCUGUCCUUACCUGCUCCCAUGCCAGGCCCAUUGCAGCAGGGAGAC
Long non-coding RNA from Alligator sinensis (Chinese alligator), 289 nucleotides. RefSeq lists it as uncharacterized. The transcript has 3 exons. The record is from RefSeq and is a predicted model, not a curated record. Lineage: Eukaryota; Metazoa; Chordata; Crocodylia; Alligatoridae.